This 870-nucleotide ribosomal RNA is filed under the name Agaricus silvaticus. Its description in RNAcentral is "eukaryotic LSU rRNA". It matches the Rfam family "Eukaryotic large subunit ribosomal RNA", at positions 75 to 932 of the family's 3401-position model. The record is from RNAcentral. Lineage: Eukaryota; Fungi; Basidiomycota; Agaricomycetes; Agaricales; Agaricaceae.
UUCCCCUAGUAACUGCGAGUGAAGCGGGAAAAGCUCAAAUUUAAAAUCUGGCGGUCUUUGGCCGUCCGAGUUGUAAUCUAGAGAAGUAAUGCCCGUGCUGGACCGUGUAUAAGUCUCCUGGGAUGGGGCGUCAUAGAGGGUGAGAAUCCCGUCUUUGACACGGACUACCAGUGCAUUGUGGUAUGCUCUCAAAGAGUCGAGUUGUUUGGGAAUGCAGCUCAAAAUGGGUGGUAAAUUCCAUCUAAAGCUAAAUAUUGGCGAGAGACCGAUAGCGAACAAGUACCGUGAGGGAAAGAUGAAAAGAACUUUGGAAAGAGAGUUAAACAGUACGUGAAAUUGCUGAAAGGGAAACGCUUGAAGUCAGUCGCGUUGGCCGGGAAUCAGCCUUGCUUUUGCAUGGUGUACUUUCUGGUUGACGGGUCAGCAUCAAUUUUGACUGCUGGAAAAGGGCCUGGGGAAUGUGGCAGCUUCGGCUGUGUUAUAGCCCCUGGUCACAUACAGUGGUUGGGAUUGAGGAACUCAGCACGCCGCAAGGCCGGGUUUCGACCACGUUCGUGCUUAGGAUGCUGGCAUAAUGGCUUUAAGCGACCCGUCUUGAAACACGGACCAAGGAGUCUAACAUGCCUGCGAGUAUUUGGGUGGAAAACCCGAGUGCGCAAUGAAAGUGAAAGUUGAGAUCCCUGUCGUGGGGAGCAUCGACGCCCGGACCAGAACUUUUGGGACGGAUCCGCGGUGGAGCAUGUAUGUUGGGACCCGAAAGAUGGUGAACUAUGCCUGAAUAGGGUGAAGCCAGAGGAAACUCUGGUGGAGGCUCGUAGCGAUUCUGACGUGCAAAUCGAUCGUCAAAUUUGGGUAUAGGGGCGAAAGACU